GAUGAACGCUGGCGGCGUGCUUAACACAUGCAAGUCGAACGGUGAAGGCGGAGCUUGCUCUGCUGGAUCAGUGGCGAACGGGUGAGUAACACGUGAGCAAUCUGCCCCUGACUCUGGGAUAAGCGCUGGAAACGGCGUCUAAUACUGGAUACGAGCUGCGAAGGCAUCUUCAGCAGCUGGAAAGAAUUUCGGUCAGGGAUGAGCUCGCGGCCUAUCAGCUUGUUGGUGAGGUAAUGGCUCACCAAGGCGUCGACGGGUAGCCGGCCUGAGAGGGUGACCGGCCACACUGGGACUGAGACACGGCCCAGACUCCUACGGGAGGCAGCAGUGGGGAAUAUUGCACAAUGGGCGAGAGCCUGAUGCAGCAACGCCGCGUGAGGGACGACGGCCUUCGGGUUGUAAACCUCUUUUAGCAGGGAAGAAGCGAAAGUGACGGUACCUGCAGAAAAAGCGCCGGCUAACUACGUG
RNAcentral lists this ribosomal RNA (468 nucleotides) under uncultured bacterium. RNAcentral describes it as "partial 16S ribosomal RNA". It matches the Rfam family "Bacterial small subunit ribosomal RNA", at positions 28 to 507 of the family's 1533-position model. The record is from RNAcentral.